GGGGGUUGGGAGGGCAGGCUGAUGUGCCAGUGGGGGCCAAGACGCUGGUGGUGAGGGGUUGCUUGUCCGCCUGACAUGACUCUUAUUUGGUCGUCAUGGUAAUGCCACAGUAACGCUGCGGUAAUGCCAUAGCAACGACACCAAAUGGCAGGCGAAUGAGAGCUAGGCUGCAUCUUCCACAAAUGUCCUUGGUUCACUGUUUGAAAGGUGAUAACGUGCGACAUUACAUACAAACUCUGACCCAUUUGGGCCACGUUUACAGGUCAACCUCGCUCGGCAGUCAACAAUCUUUGACUAUUUAGAAUGAAUUACUUCCUGUGGGUCAUGUGAAAACAACAAGUGAUGUCAUAUAAAGGGGGACAGUUAAACUCUAGUGUAGAGCUUCCUUCCACUUGAAAAACAGCUCCUCUACAGGUUACGCUUCCAGUCCACUCUGUAUCUCUGUAGCUAGAACUAAAAGACACCCUGAAUGCUCCAAUAUCAAAGCCAAGGAAGAAGAAGAAGGUGUUUAGCAGAGAGGAAGCAGAGAAGCCUGUAUAAAGUCAGGGAACACCCACUGUAUUGUAUUUACAGAUGUAGGAUCUUAAUUUGAGCCAGUCUCCUACAGCAGGAAAAUAAUCAUACAGCAACAGGACAUUUUAAUUAUAAUGUGGAUUAUAAUGAAUGGAGAUUUUUGUAGCGUCUGAAAAAAUUUCGUAAGGGAAAAUCAAGUGUGAAAUUUCAAAGUGGAAAUACACUACAAGUACAAAAUACACUACAAGUUUUAAAUGUCCUGCAUUGCAGAAAUAUUUUCCUGCAACAGGGUAAUCAAAUGAAGAUCCUACAUACAGUAUGUAGAUGUCCAGGGAGCAUGUCUGCUGUCGGCCACAACAGCGCCUCCAAACCCCAGCGUUGCUACCAAAACAUGUUGUUGUGGUGUUGUGGUUGAGGUGGCUGUGAUGUGUAGUAAACAAACAGCUUCUUUUGUACAUUGUGUCGGGGUGAGGGAUGUGGGCGGGUUGGAUAUGUAGCUAUAAAUUACAAACAUGGGAGCUGUCUACACCCCAUCGACGUAUCCCAACAUUCACCCUUUUCCCUAUACAGUGCAAUACUGGUCAAAAGCAGAGCACUAUAUAGGGAAUAGGGUGCCAUUUGGGAUGCAGUUUGACUCCUCCAUCCGUCUUCGAUAUGGGCUCAGGAUUGUUCUGAGAGACAGAGAGAAGAAAGGGAUUGACGGUUCCGUCAGACGGGUCGCAAAACCAACCGAUAAAGAUUUAUUCAAUUCUCUUUUAAACGUUCUAUUUAUAUCGAGCUCUACUUUAGUAACAUCCUUCUAUAUUUAAACAUUGUACUAAUAACAUGCUGUCAGACAUGGUGGGGAAAAGUCCAUUGUAGCCAUUAACUAAUGUUACAUUUACUGUAUUACUGAGUAAGAAAAAAAAAACAUUUAUAUAUAUGAUGAAUAUAAAUAUAUCUAUUUGUGAUCUGCAACCCUUGGAAUUAAGUUCGCCCUUUGAUUUUUGAUAAUCGAUAUUAUGAUUUUAUGGGCGCCGGACUUAAUGCACUGUCGACCAUUCCUGGGAGAUUUCUAUACCUGUGUAGUGUUAUUACCUGUUUGUCUAUUUACUCCUCCUUUGGUUCCGCUAUUGAAUGUAACUUCCAAAAACUUUUUAUGUGAAUGUCGUUAUAUAUAUAUAAAAAAACAAAAUGUCAAAGUACAAUGUAUAUGCAGUACACUACACGAUGAUAAUAUAGCUGAACGUUUCAUCUGAUAAAAUGCUGGACUUCAGACGGUCACACCGAUGCCAAUACAACUGGUGAGGGUAUUUUACGUAGGAACAAGUGGGGAGGGUAUUAUGUGGAGCACACCAGUGCCCUGCAGACAGACAUCCUCCAGAUAAGAACCGUGUAAUCAUUUACUGGAUCAGUCAGAACUCUUCGCACCAAGGCUUUUCACAUCUGACGAGAACAAGAACACCAGGAGAGGAGCAUCGCAGUCUGUCCUGUGUGCCAGAUCAAAUGUGUUUUUUAAAUAUUGAUCUAUUUUGUAUUUAUUCUUCUCUCUCCUGAGGUGAAAGAGAGGGAGAGAGAGCGAGUGAGUGAGGACCAAGUGAGGGACUAGUGCUGAGAGUGGGUGGGGGGUGGUGGUGAGGGAGGGUUCUGUCACACCUUGAUCUGUGUUGGAGGGGAUUUGUGACCUAUACACAAGAGGAGGGUUGAGGAUCCAGGUUUGAAGACGGGGAAUAAGGGGACUCCUUAUCCCUCUCCUCUCUGAUUGGAGGACAGGAUGGUACUGUAAAACUCUGAGCUCUCUUUCCUUUCUGAGUUCACCUUAGCCUCUGCUGCACAUCAAGCUUCCCUACACCACAAUGAGCUGCUACCCCUGGACACAGGUGUGACUGUAUCUGACAGGCUGGUCUACGGACGUUUCCCUGGACACAGGUGUGACUGUAUCUGACAGGCUGGUCUACGGACGUUUCCCUGGACUCAGGUGUGACUGUAUCUGACAGGCUGGUCUACGGACGUUUCCCUGGACUCAGGUGUGACUGUAUCUGACAGGCUGGUCUACGGACGUUUCCCUGGACUCAGGUGUGACUGUAUCUGACAGGCUGGUCUACGGACGUUUCCCUGGACUCAGGUGUGACUGUAUCUGACAGGCUGGUCUACGGACGUUUCCCCGCAGUGUAAUGGAUGGAAGGUUCCGGAUAAAUAAACCCACUUUGCUGCAUUCUUGUCCUCAGAGAAGACAGAACGGGUAUCUUCACAGGUGGACAGGGGACAGCUGUUUGUUUGUUAACAUGUUAACUAACAGGUGUAUGUUAGGUAUGCAUGUAGCAUAAAUAAUGAGACCUGAACCAGUAAAGUGUGUGUGUGUCAUAGAGAAACAACUCUGUCCACUUCUAACCACUCAAUCUGUUGUUGUCAAGUUGUCAUUGCAAAGCUCAAGGGACUCUUGAUGUGAAGUCACAUCUGCACUGGCACUGAGAGAGACUGAGACCUCAUGUAUUAAAAAAGACAAGCAAACAAAUAAAUACAUUUUAAAAACGAUGAUGUCACUAACAGAGAUCUGAGAUCUUUAAGGGGUUUUACUUAUCCUGAUAAUCUGAUUCUACUGCUGUUAUUUUUUGGGUCUGUUUGAGACUUCCUUCCUGUUUAGAUGUAGACCUUGCUGUUCAACCCUGGGGAAAGAGAUGUAUGAUAAAAGCGGUUAUAAAAUGAGUCCUGUGCACACGUUGACCACUGCACUAUUGUGAAUAUGUCGGUCUAUCGGACUUACACAUUCAAAUAAACGUGCAGAAGUGGAUGUUAGUGCAGGGAUACAUUUUGUCAUUGAGCAUAGAAAAUUGUUAAUAAUUUAUAUUCCCAGCACCGCUGAAAGCGGUGGUAGUGUGUCUGUGUGCUGAUAUUUGCUCUGAAAUGGCUUAAUUCUCAUUUGAAAUAAAAAAAACGUAACUCUGCAAGACGUUGAUGUCAUUGAGGACCUUACGCAAACAUGUGAUUUAAGUGUGUAGAUCUUGAGUUAGGAUUUGGCCCAAACAAGUGUGAAGCAGCCUUCACUAUAGCUCUGUUACUGUCUGAGGCUAAUUACCGUACCGUACCCUACCCCUACCCGCUGCUCCUAAAGUUACGUAUACCUCUGUGCCCCCUAACCCAAAGCCCACAUCCAACACUCAUUCCAAUGAUGGCUUCCUGAAAAUCCACAAGCUUCCUUACAAAAACCAAAUGUCGGUUUCCUCGAACAUCCUGAUUUGUUUACAACCUAAACCCUAAUGCAAAUACCCAGACCCCGUCUCAUCUGAAUCCAGAAACCUCAGUCCAAAACCCAACCCAGUUCAGACCCAGUUUAUCCUGUAGUACCCGAACCAGCUCUCAAACCCCUAAGCCAAAACCACAGACCUACCUCCCCUAUAGUUUAUCGAUCUCCGUCCCCAUCCGUCCCCAUCCGUCACCGUCCUAGUUCACAACGCCCUCUGCAGUCCCCCAAAAGCACAAAGGUUAGAGUGGUGUAGGAGUAAGCUGACGCUGUGAAAGAGAAACCCUUCCAUUCUGUUUGUGUUGGUCUGUUUACGGCUUAUAAAUGUGGUGCUUUUGUAUUCCGAAUGUACAGAUGCUCCUUUUUCUGUCUAUGUCAGAACGUUGUAUUAGUGGAAAUUCAAAACGACGACUCUUCAUGUGCUUCAAACACAUCUAUUUCUGUUUUUAUUUUCUUCUUUUUUGGCAAUUGCUCCAAGGUCAUAUAGAUUAAAAGAUGAGUAGGUAAACAAAAUACAUAAAUAAAGAGAUAUAUUGAUCAAUUUCAAGAGAUUACAUGUUGAGCUGUUCAGAACCUGUACUCUAACUUUGGCAUUUGGUUUCUGUUCACUGUUUUGUUCUACUUUGUGUAUGCUUUCAAUGUGCUUCAGAAAUACAGUAAUAUUUAUUAUGAUCGUUAAAUUAUUAUUACAGUUAUUAUCAUGAUUACUGCAGUUAUUAAUAAAUAUUUCUUUCCUCAACGAGA
Molecule: long non-coding RNA, 4477 nt
Filed under: Salmo salar (Atlantic salmon)
Lineage: Eukaryota; Metazoa; Chordata; Actinopteri; Salmoniformes; Salmonidae
Description: lncRNA (ENSSSAG00000087930.1)
Source: RNAcentral